CGUCAGUUUAGGCGCCCUCCGGAGGCGAAGGCCGGGGGUUCGAAUCCCUCCUGGCGCACCA
This 61-nucleotide transfer RNA is filed under the name Alphaproteobacteria bacterium. RNAcentral's name for it is "tRNA-OTHER". Lineage: Bacteria; Pseudomonadati; Pseudomonadota; Alphaproteobacteria. The record is from RNAcentral.